CAAAACUACGAGAAGCUCAAUACUUGAAUCCAAUUAUCAGUUUAAAUUACCAAUUCAAAAUAAAUAAAAUAAAAUAAAGAGUGGCAAACAGGAAGGGGGAAAAAGAAGGAGAAGCGUUCCCUACUAAAUUAUGAAUGCAUAACCAUGAAUCAAAUCAAACUAUCUUGAGAACAUGAUUACCACAGCAUGAAAGAACAUGGCUAACAUACAUAGCACAAUGAAUAUGAGUCAUGACAGCCAAAGUCAACAAGGAAGCUUAAGGACAUGCGAAGACUCAAGAGUUGAGCACAACAAUUAGGUCACACAUAACCGCAAACCCAAAUGCAUGAAAUAUAACUUCCAUAAUACCAUCAAAGCAUCUGUCUAUAUGAUAAAUUCUCUGAGUCUUACCACAGGAUAUUCACCAGCUGUCAAACAGGUCAUGCACUGAUCCCAUGCCACCAAUCACGACAAAAAAGCAUAACUACUAAUUAAGUAAAUGCUUGAUGAUGCAGCUAUUCCCAUGAUUGGAAUGAAUCUAAGAAAAAGACCCUACAUCACAACGGUGAAAUUGCCUUCUAAAAUGACAUCCCUCGGAAGAGGCUUCCAUGUAUGUAGGAUCUUUAUGGGCAAUCUCAUGCUAACUUCAUGCCCACCUAAAGCCCACAAAAAAUACUGUCUGUCCAUAUUUACAGCAGAUACACACCUUAAGUGCACUGCCAAGAAUUAGGACAUUAAUGUCUACAAAUCUCCAUCUCAUUCGCCUUCGAAGGACAUGGUAUCCGAAUUUGUUUUAAAA
Rhododendron vialii is the source of this 778-nucleotide long non-coding RNA. RefSeq lists it as uncharacterized. The transcript is spliced from 2 exons. Lineage: Eukaryota; Viridiplantae; Streptophyta; Magnoliopsida; Ericales; Ericaceae. The record is from RefSeq and is a predicted model, not a curated record.